ACAUGCCUACAACAUAGCGUUAAUGCAAUUGAUCGCAUUAGAACUCCAUAGUUAAGUGCGAUAGGGAUAGAGUAGUACUAGGAUAGGUGAACGCCUGGGAAUUCCUAGUGUUUUACAUGCC
Picea glauca (white spruce) is the source of this 121-nucleotide non-coding RNA. Lineage: Eukaryota; Viridiplantae; Streptophyta; Pinopsida; Pinales; Pinaceae. The record is from Rfam.